GACGAACGCUGGCGGCGUGCCUAAUACAUGCAAGUCGAACGCUGAAGGAGGAGCUUGCUUCUCUGGAUGAGUUGCGAACGGGUGAGUAACGCGUAGGUAACCUGCCUGGUAGCGGGGGAUAACUAUUGGAAACGAUAGCUAAUACCGCAUAAUAGCAGUUGUUGCAUGACAACUGUUUGAAAGGUGCAAUUGCACCACUACCAGAUGGACCUGCGUUGUAUUAGCUAGUUGGUGGGGUAACGGCUCACCAAGGCGACGAUACAUAGCCGACCUGAGAGGGUGAUCGGCCACACUGGGACUGAGACACGGCCCAGACUCCUACGGGAGGCAGCAGUAGGGAAUCUUCGGCAAUGGACGGAAGUCUGACCGAGCAACGCCGCGUGAGGGAAGAAGGGUGUCGGAUCGUAAAGCUCUGUUGUAAGAGAAGAACGAGUGUGAGAGUGGAAAGUUCACACUGUGACGGUAGCUGACCAGAAAGGGACGGCUAACUACGUG
This 495-nucleotide ribosomal RNA is filed under the name uncultured bacterium. RNAcentral's name for it is "partial 16S ribosomal RNA". It matches the Rfam family "Bacterial small subunit ribosomal RNA", at positions 28 to 507 of the family's 1533-position model. The record is from RNAcentral.